RNAcentral lists this long non-coding RNA (8824 nucleotides) under Lupinus angustifolius (narrow-leaved blue lupine). RNAcentral's name for it is "long non-coding RNA (LANG_LNC000750)". Lineage: Eukaryota; Viridiplantae; Streptophyta; Magnoliopsida; Fabales; Fabaceae. The record is from RNAcentral.
UGGAAUUCGGUUUCCCCUCUCUAAGUAAAUGGGUAAAACUGAAAUGUGUCGUAAACAAUGGGCCCAAAACAAAAUUACAAUUACAAAAAACUCCUAAAAUACAAUCUUCACUUCAAAACAUAUCUUUGCCUUCUGUAAUGUCCAAAAUGUCCUUCAUGCUAAAUAUGAUAUGAAAAUGAUAAUAGAUUUAAUUAGGCUAAAUAAUCCCAAAUUAACUCAUUAUAGGAAUAUUAGUCCAAUAAAGUCUAAAGCACUAAAUCAUGUCAAACAAAGUCAAUUAGGCACCAAUAAACAUUAAUCAUGCUAAAUUAAGGUUAUUAAUAGUGUAUAAUAUAUUGCUAAUCAAUGACAUAGGAGGUCGUAUGUACAGCAUCGACCCAAAAGUAUUUAGGCACUUUGCUUUCAUUAAGCAUGGUCCUGGCUAGCUCCUCUAAUACGCGAUUUUUUCUCUCAACAACUCCAUUUUGUUGAGGAAUUCUAGGAGCUGAGUAUUGGUGCAGGAUACCAUUUUUAUUGCAAAACUUAUCGAACAGGUGGUUCUCAAAUUCACCACCAUGGUCACUUCGUAUAUAUACAAUUUUCAGGUUAAGUUGGUUUUGGAUUUGCUUGACAAGGCUUUUAAAAGAUUUGAAUGUGUCGCUUAUAGCAUAAAGGAACAGGGUCCAUGUAAAACUAGAGAAAUCGUCUACAGCUAUCAAAGCAUAAUAACUACCUACGAAACUCAGGAUUUGCGAUGGUCCAAACAGGUCCAUAUGGAGAAGCUCUGAAGACCUAGUUGUAGAGAUUACAUUUUUUGAUGCAAAUGAGUUCUUAACUUGUUUACGCUUGUGACAAGUGCCACGAGCUUCUUUAGAUUUGAAAUUAAGUUUAGGUAGACCAACAACUAAAUCGUGAGAUGAUAAUUUAUCUAAGUGUUUAAUAUGUAUGUGCGCAAUGCGCCUAUGCCAAAGCCAUAUGUCAUUCUCUCUAGAGAUAAAACAUUUUGAGAACAAUGUAGUGACAUGCUCCAAAUUAACCAUGUAUAUGUUGUUUAUACGAUGACCAACAAACUUAACAUUAUUAGAUAUACUAUCACGAAUAAUGCAACAAUCACAAUCAAAGGAUCCUCAGUUACCUUUAUCGCACAAUUGGCUAAUACUUAAUAGGUUGUGCUCCAAGCCGUCCACAUAGAGUAUGAGAGAUCUAGGAAGUAUUUCCAACUCCAAGUAUCUUUCCUCGAUUAUUGUCGCCAUAAGUGACGUACCCUUUUUCUUUGAGUGAGAGAUCUAGGAAUUUCGAUCUGUCACAUGUCAUAUGGCUCGAACACCCGCUAUCUAAGUACAAGUGAUGUCCAUGCGUUUGUAAGCAUACCUACAAAACAAAUUACUUGUCUUGUUUAGGUACCUAAUUGAUAUUGGGUCCCUUCUUGUUAGUAACCAUGGUAUUUUGUCCCUUCUUCACCCAAAUAUAAGUACCAUCAGGCACACCAUACUUUCUAAUAUAACAUGAAGUGGUAGUAUGGUCAUAAGUUUCGCAAUAGAAACAAGUAGGCAUGUGAGUAUAUGAGUUUUUACGAUUAUGGACUACAAGUUUCCUAUAUGGUCUUUUCUUGCUAGUUUGGGGUUUAUAAGCUAAUCCCAUGUGGUUACUAGCAUUUCUAGAUUCAGCAAGUAAAGUGUCAAGAUUAAAAAUAAUGUAUGUAAGCUUUGCGAGUUUUUCUUUUAAAUUCGAAUUUUCAGUUUCCAACGUCUCGUAAGUAUCACAUACAGCAAAUUGACAUAAAUUAUCUUUAGAUAAAUUACAUGAGCUACAAGAGUAGAUCAAGUCAAGGGUUUCAGUUUCCAGUUUUAAUUCAUCUAACUCUUUUUACAUUUUAAUGAUUUGGUGUUCAUGCAAUAGGUUUACCCGUUUUCUAUCUAUGUUAAUCCUAGCAAGAUUUUUAAGUUCUACAUGUACUUCAACAAAUGCAUUAUACAGUUCAUCAUAUUUAGGGGAGUCAUCAGAAGAAGAUGAAGUAAUAGAAUAUACCUCAGUUGCAUCAUCCUGACCACUAGAGUUGCAAGCAUCUUGUGUUUUCAUCAUAAGGCACAGUUUUGCACACUCCUCCUCAUUAGAUGUGCUUGAUGUAGUUUCCUCCUCGGGAGCAUCCCAUACGAUGUAUGCUCUUUUUGAUUUGAAGUUCUGAGGAGUGUUCUUUUCAUAUUCAACCUUCUUGAGAUAGGUUGGACAUUCUAGCCUCAAAUAUCCAACCUUCUCGCAUUCAUGGAAAGUGAAGCGCUCCUUUGGGUUCUUGCCCUUCUUGGUUGAGUCUCGCGCUUCUUUCUUUUGAAACCUCUUGAAUCCCCCUCUUUUCUUCAGGAAUUUGCCAAAUUUUCGAACUAGGAGAUUCAUGGUGUCCUCAUCCAGAUCGAAAUCAGAAUUGUCAUCCUCUUUUUGAUCUUGCGAACUGGUUGCCUUGAGAGAGAUGUCUUUCUUCUUCUUGUCCGAAUCCUCAUUCAUAGUUAAACGCCCUAACUCCAUCUCGUGUUCCUGGAGUUUGCCAAACAAUGUCACUAAAGGCAUGGAAUCAAAGUCUUUUGACUCCAUGAUUGCGGUUACUUUCGGUUGCCAUUUCUUGUCAAGACAAUGCAAAACUUUGUUAGUUAAUUCUCCUUUAGUAAAACAUUUAUCUAGGGAAACUAAAUGCUUAACAAUGUGAGUAAAUUGCUUUUGCAUUUUACUAAUUGAUUCAUUUGAUAACAUGCAAAAUAACUUAUAUUCAUGUGUUAGCGCAUUUAGCCUAGUGUGCUUAACCUUGCUAGUGCCUUCAUGAGUCACUUGUAAGGUGUCCCAUAUUUCUUUCGCAUUUUGGCACUGCGAUACCCUAAACAACUCAUCGUAAAAUAGGGUUGAUGUGAUAAUAUUUUUAGCAUGAAGGUUAUGUUGAACCUUUCUACACUCAUCAUCGAUCCAUAAACUUUUUGGAUUUUCUUUAGAUUCAUCGUCCACCAACUGGAGUGGAAUGAAAGGGCCAUUGACCACGGAUUCCCAAAUAUCCAUGUCAAUCGCCUCAAUGAAUAUUCUCAUGUGCACCUUUCAGUAGUCGUACUCCUCGCCACUGAAAUCGGAAGCGGUUGAGGGAUGUGUCAUCACCGCCAAAAGGGUUUGUGGAAUCCAUCGUAUUAUCCUCUAGUAUCGAACGAAUACACGGUCAAGCUAGUACUUUCGUACUAGCUCUAAUAUCACUUGUUGGGUGUCAGCGUGUCAUAAUACACCUAGAAGGGGGGUUGAAUAGGUGUCGCAGAUCACUUACUCCGAUUUUCCUAUAUUUUGCGUGAAACUAAAACUGACUGUACUUAAUCGAUUAAGCUUGGUUUUAAUCGAUUAACUAGUGUUUGGACUUAAUGGAUUAUGCUUGUGGAUAAUCGAUUAUCCUGAAUCUUGCACUACUUGAUUAUGUGGUUUCUUGCACAACAAGUUACCGAUUACUAUUUCUUUACACAAUUAAUUGAUUAUCAAAGUUAAAGAAAGACAGUAAAACGGAUUAUAACAUGCAACUCAUAUUAACUCAAUUAAUCAACAAAGUAAAGAAUAAAAGUAAGGAGACUAGGGAUAGAAAGAGGUGCACAAUAAAUUUUUAUCCUGGUUCGUUUGCGGUCCACUAUAAACAACAUCCAGGCCUCCCCUUCUGAUCUCGGGAGAUUUUUCGUCACUAUUGCAAUUGUAACUUUACACGCACACUUCCAAUUACAAAAACAGAAAAACUAAGUCGCUUCUUUCUUGGCACCUAUGUGCUUGAUAACCUAGAUUUGACCUACCUAAUUCGCCUACUAAGUUCUCCUAUCCUUUCGCGAUUCGACCCCAGCCUCGGUAUCGCUCAAACCAAGACCUCUAAGUCUCUAUGAAGAUUAUAAAUAUCUCUCUUGUAGUGAAGCUAUUAACAAAGAGAUCAACUUCCUUGUUCACAACAGAUUUUGUUGAGUUGACUUGAGUACUUAAUACUCGGACUCAACAAUUAAAACUCAAUCUAAAACACUAAGCAGAAAAUCCACAAGAACCUAAUUCUAAAUGAAAUUUAAUGCAUUACAUUUUUUUAAAAUUGAUUUGCACUCUUUUCAGAAAAAUAUUUUCGUCACUUUUCUCUCAAAGAAAUCAAGAACUUUAUGUAAGAACGCAAUGCAUAGAAAACUAGAGAAAACACGCAAUAAUUUUACUUUCUAAGCCUAACUCAGAAUGCUCUCACUCUCUAAGUUUUCUAAAUGCACUUUCUCACUAUAAUGCAAUGUAUGAAAGUGUAUGCUCUUUAACUAUGUUUGAAAUAUGCAAAUUAUGCCACAUUGGCAAGAAUUAUAGUAUUUAUACUAAUCCUACUCAUAUUAAUAUUAAUCAAUUAUUCAUCCACUUCAUCGAUUAACGGACAGUUUUUUGUUACGUCUUAAUCAAUUAUAUAGUGUCUUAAUCGAUUAACGUACUAAUAGCCUCAGAUCAGUUAGUAACUGAAUUCUUGAUAAUCGAUUACACAUACUGCAUAAUCAAUUAUGCUGAUUUAAAAAUGUUUUUCUUGAUAUAUGGUAAGCAAACUAUAUGAUAUGAACAUGUUAUACAUAGUUUUUCAAAAUGUAAUACCUUUAAUGCAUAAGACUAUGUAUGUGAAUGCAUGAGCCUACUUAUCAUAAGAUAUCUAGAUGUUAUGUCUCAAUUUUAGUCUUGUUCAAUUUUAGUUCUUGUGAGACUUCCACCUAGGUUUACCUAACCUAGACUCAAUCUAAGGCAAUCAUCCUAAGACUUCUAAUACAAGUAAAUAUUAUAACGCCUUAAGUCUAUAGAUGCAACCUAUGAGUCUUUGGCUUGUUGUUUGUUGUACGAUCUUCAAGCUUACUAGUAUGUAUGUUGUCUUCAUCAAAACUUCGGUUAGCAUUAAAUGUGCGGGUCUUCACUCUUUGCACUUUCAAUCUCCCCCCUUUUUUAUGAUGACAAACUCUUCUCCAAUUACUUGUUUGAUAAGCUUGAUGACGAUCAACAUGUGUUUGCUUAGGUUGGAUAAUUGUCAAAGUUGUGCUGCUCCCCCUCACUUUGUUCUCCCCCUCGACCAAGCAAUGAGGUAGUUUACUCAAGAGUAGGUAGCAAACUUACGGAAGCUCAACAAAACAGAUUAAGUAAUAUUAGGUACCCAGUUACUUUUGGGUCCUACAGGGUUAGCACUUUUCUCUACCCAUUGAAAACGUCCUAAGGGUACACCAUAUUUUCUAAUCAUGCAAGUAUUAGGUGUAUGCCCAUGAUUUUGACAGAAAGUGCAGAUGGGUUGAUGCUUAUGUAUCCUAGUCAUAGAUUUAGAAACAUGAUAAGUAUGGAUACUUUGCUUUUGAAAAUUUAUUUUUGUAGGCACUUCCUUUUUCUUAUAUAAAGAAGGUUUGGAAAAUCUGAGACCUCUACGGACGGUGGAAUGUCUUUACAUUUUCAACAUAUUAUCCAAGUUUAUACUGCUAUAGUUUAAACUUUUGAGUUCAAGACUCAAAGUAGAAAUUUUAUUUUCCAGAGUAAUACACUUUGGACAAGAAGAAGAAGAAGAAGGUUUACUUCGGAAUGCAUCAAUCUCAUUCUUUUAAUUAAAACAGAUUUUGGUGGGUUUGAAAUAUUCACUAUGCAAUUCAUUAAAAGCAUUUUGUACUUCAAAAAAUGAUGGCAUAUCUAAAGGUUCAGUUUCACUUACCUCAUCAUCAUCAGAAUGAUGAGACGCCAUUAGAGGGAGAUGGGUUUGCUCUUCAUUUUCGAGUUCUGAAGUUGAACUUGAGUCAUUAUCCUCUCAUGCAAUGUAAGUUCGUCUACUAGUCUUCUUUUCAGGUUUUGCCUUGAAAUGAUUCUUCUUUAGUGUAGGACAGUCUAUCUUCAUGUGACCAGGUUUUCCACAUUCAAAACAAUUGAAGUUUUGAUUUGAAGUGGAAACUUCAUUGCUCUUGGUGAAUCUUCUUGAUUGUCCAACCUUACCACCUUUGUUUCUUUUUAGGAACUUGCUGAACUUCUUCAUCAACAUGCUCAUAUCUUCCCUGUCCUCCUUUUCUAAGUGAUCUGCCAAGGAUCCAUACACCUCAUCUUUUGCUUUAAGAUAAAUAUUCUUUCUCUUCUACUCUUGUUCUUCAGGUUGUUCAAGUUGGCUUAAUUCCAACUCCUGUUCUUGCAACUUUCCAAAGAGAGCAACCAACGACAUCUUUGAUAGACUUUUAUUUUCUGAGAUGGCUGUCAUCUUGUGUUGCAAUUGUCUUGUAAAUGAUCUUAGAACUUUCAUGUUCAAGUCAUUAUAUGAUAGUACCUUACCAAGUGCAAUCAGAUGAAUUAUGAGGUAAGUAAAUAUCUUUUGGAGAUCUAGUAUUUUCUCUCCAAGCUUCAUGCAAAACAUUUCAUACUCCUGGGAGAGAGUAUUAAGUCUAGAUCUUUUCACCUCCCUAGUUCCUUCAUAAGUUGUUUCUAGAGUAUCCAUAUCUCCUUGACGGAUUUGCAAUUUAAUACUCUAAAGAACUCGUCAAUAUCCAGGGCUGAAGUGAGAAUUUUUUUGGCUUUGAGAUCGUAUUACACUUUCUUUUUAUCUUCAUCAUUCCAAUAGGGUUUUGGCUUAACUUCCCAUACACCAUUAAUAAUAGUGAAAGGUUCAUAGGAUCCUUCCUCAAUCGCAUUCCAUAUAUCUAGGUCUUGUGACUCUAUAAAGAUUUUUAUCCUGAUUUUCUAGAAGUUGUAGCAUUCUCCAACAAAGUUUGGAGGGUGAUUCAUGUUGAAAGCUUAUCACAAAAAUGAUCUAGAUGCCAUCUUUAAAAUAGGAUUGAUUUGAGAAUAAUUUACUCAAAAUAAGCUUUGGUGACAAUUGUAAGUAUUAUAUGGCAACUAAGAGGGGUGAAUUAGUUGAUGGGAGAAAUGACCAAUUUCUCUGCUUAGAUAUCAAAGUGUUUGUGCAGCGGAAAAUAGUUGCAUAAAUCAACCAAGUUAAAAACCAAAAGUAAGUACACAAAGAGAGUAGAAGAGUAAGAGUACACGGAGAAUUUUUAUACUGGUUCACCUUCUUGUCUACUGAAGGUUACAUCUAGUACUCUUGCCACACAAGAGAUUUCUCCACUAGAUACUUUGAGUUGCAAUUACAAACUCUCUCCCCGAGACCCUUGUACCUUACACACUCACAAAUAUCUAUCGUUGGAAAACAACAUUUCCAAGUUAACUCUUUUCCCAUUCUCACCACACCCUUAUGAUGACAAGUUUUACAACAAGAUGAAGAAUGAAAUCAGUGGUAGGAUUGCCUUUACAAGUGUUUGACAAUUGUUAUAACUGGCAAUCCUUUUGGUGUAAAUAUACUUAGUAAACAAUAUUCUAAUAUGUUUUAAAAUUUCAGAACUUAACACUUGAAGCAACUUCAGAAAAGUCUAAAAGUUUAGAAUCAAAGUUGCAAGAGUGCAAAAAUUGUUUUACAAUUUCAUGUAUCACUUUUAUUGUGGAUUCUUAUUGAAUUGAAUGUCUCAAUGCCUUUAACUAGGCUUCUAAUCAGCCAAUGUAACCUUCUAUGAAGAUGAGACACGAUUGGAAUGAAACUCACUCACUUUGGACGAAUGUUAUUCAUUCAAAUUUGAAAAUAUGGUUUCCAACGGCUAUGGUUAAUCGAUUGUCACAACUGUGUAAUUGAUUACCAAAAGUUUUUGUCCAAAGUGGUAAUCGAUUAAUAUAUAGUAAUAAUCGGUUACUUGGUAUUAGUUAUGCUUUGUAAUUGUUUUCUUAGUCAUAUAACAUGUUACGUAGUUCUAGUAACCUGUUACGUAGUUCCAGUAACCUGUUACCAAUUAUCACAUAGUUCAGGUAACUUGUUACCUAGAUCUAACAAUCUGUUACUCAGGUCAAGUAACUCAUAACUUAGCAUUAUUGUUAUUUUAUCAAGACUUAUCCAAUUAUUUUGAAAAUAGUUUUGAUUCCUUUGGUCAUUGCAACUAAUAUAUAAAUUGAGUGUAAGGAUAAAGUUCCUAUUGAAGACUUAAUCAAUAAUUGCUUAAACCUUAAUUCUUCUAUAUCUUCAUAGUCUUUUCCCUUUUCUUCUUUUUGUGAUCUUAGUGUCUUCAUCAAAACCGUAUCAAGGAAAUAAGCAAGAUCUUCUUCACAACUCUCUCUUCAAUUUUCAAACUUAGACAAGUCUAAGGUUAGUUUCUCAAAUGUUUGUUGCAGUCCAAUCACUUCUAUAGAAGGUAGAAUAUCGUCGGACAACUUAAUCUCAGACUUAAGUUUGUUAUAUUCUUAUCCAAGCCUAAAGCAUUAUUUUGAUUUCUCAAUAAACAAUUUAAGAGUUUUCAUACUUUCUUUGUAGAUCUUUGUACGCUUUAUAAAUGUUGUUCUAUUCUUCUAACAAUUCAUCAUAUGCUUUAUCUAGUUUACUGAGUUUAGAAUGUACCUCAUCAUAUAACUAUGAUUUAAUGCCUUCCAUCAAGUAGAGAUUUGCUUUCAGUUUUUCUUCCUCAAAAUCACGUGAGCUUAUUCCUUUUUUAUUGUAAGGGAUCUUCAUUUAGGGUUGAUACUUGAGAUUUAGGUAAUAUGCCUUCAUGUGUCCUGAUUUCAUGCACUCAUAGCAAGUGACAUCCUCAGAUUUGUUGUCCUUGUUUUUAAAUAUGUUAUUGUUGGGUCUGAAAGGCUUCUUCAACUUUCUUUUGUUCCAGAGCUUCUUCAUGUCUCUCGUCACAAGAGAUAGAUCAUCAUAGUCUUCUACUUAUUUAGAAUCAUUUGAGUUUGACUCAAUUGAUUCGUUAUUGGACUUAUGUACCUUAAGAGCUUUUGGAGUUGCGGUUUAUGUAGUCUUCUUUUCCACCUAGAGAACAAUGGAUUUUGGCUUCAUGCCAUUAUUUUCCUC